Molecule: ribosomal RNA, 394 nt
Filed under: uncultured bacterium
Lineage: Bacteria
Description: bacterial SSU rRNA
Rfam family: Bacterial small subunit ribosomal RNA
Source: RNAcentral
GGAUUAGAUACCCGGGUAGUCCACGCCCUAAACGAUGCAUGCUCGCUGUCGGGGCCGAUACAGGUCUCGGUGGCUCAGCUAACGCGGUAAGCAUGCCGCCUGGGGAUUACGGCCGCAAGGUUAAAACUCAAAGGAAUUGACGGGGACCCGCACAAGUGGAGGAGCAUGUCCAUUAAUUCGAAGAUACGCGAAGAACCUUACCUAGCCUUGACAUACCAGUAGCCGUUCCCCGAAAAGGGAGCCUCAUUUAGUUGGACUGGAUACAGGUGUUGCAUGGCUGUCGUCAGCUCGUGUCGUGAGAUGUUGGGUUAAGUCCCGCAACGAGCGCAACCCUCGCUGUUAGUUGCCAGCAUUAAGUUGGGCACUCUAACGGAACCGCCGCGGAUAACGCGGA